AUCCAGUGUACAAACUGUCUAGUACAAGGAUGUGUAAAUGAGUCUAGCUGUUGAUAAUGUGCAUGAAAUGACUUAAAUGUGGAAACUUCCUCAAAACAAGCAAACUGACAACUCUAAAAAAGUGAAUGCUGGUAUGCGCAAAUCAUCACGAAAAGGAAUUGAAAUUACACUUUGGAGACUCCUUUGCUAUUUUUGAUGAAACCAAACAACUGUAAAAUCAAACAAAAAUGGUUACUGGUAGCCGCCAGUGAAACUUUAAGUAGAGCGGUGCAAAUUCCCAAUGUUUAUUACAUUCAUGGGGCUCUUGCAAGUCUUUCGUCAAUCUCCAAUGUUCCGAGAACUGGCAUCGCUCUGCAGUAACAAUUUACCUGCCUACAACCUACAUCUACAGACUGUCUCCAGGCAUGACAGACGACCAUGGGUCCUACUACUACAAAUAUUUUGAAGACUCCCUGUUUGAUGGAUAUUUCAAGAAUUUUGCUGAAACAAUGGCUGCUCGACAGACAGAAAAAAUGAUCCCUGCGUUAUUCUUAUCUACGUGUAGGUACUAUACUAUGGGUACUUAUAUAUGCUCGCUUAACCAACUGUAUACUAAUUCGACUGCAAUCAAGAGCAGUACUAUAAUUCUAAGUCACCUAUGAUAAUAUUAUGUAUCCAUACUACUAAUGAUUUUGUAUGCGCGCUGCUUAGCGUGUUAAAUAUCUUAAUCGAUUUUCAUGAAAUUAUUUGAGCAACUGUGAUAAUGUCUAAGAGGCCUGGCUCUAGUUGAUAUUAGCAAUGACUAUAAACAGUAAACUACAUAUUUCAGCUCCAUACUUGAUAAAUGUUGUGACUUUUAGGUUUCCAUAUCGAAGAGUAUGUAGAUAAAUGUUCAUACAUGGGUGGCACUCUUACCCACACUUCCUAUCCUACAGUUAUGUAUGAGAUUCUGUUACUGUUAUCAUAAACUAUCUUAA
Cydia fagiglandana is the source of this 956-nucleotide long non-coding RNA. RefSeq lists it as uncharacterized. NCBI's taxonomy places the organism in Eukaryota, Metazoa, Arthropoda, Insecta, Lepidoptera, Tortricidae. The record is from RefSeq and is a predicted model, not a curated record. The transcript is spliced from 5 exons.